GACGAACGCUGGCGGCGUGCUUAACACAUGCAAGUCGAACGGAAAGGCCCUGCUUUUGUGGGGUGCUCGAGUGGCGAACGGGUGAGUAACACGUGAGUAACCUGCCCUUGACUUUGGGAUAACUUCAGGAAACUGGGGCUAAUACCGGAUAGGAGCUCCUGCUGCAUGGUGGGGGUUGGAAAGUUUCGGCGGUUGGGGAUGGACUCGAGGCUUAUCAGCUUGUUGGUGGGGUAGUGGCUUACCAAGGCUUUGACGGGUAGCCGGCCUGAGAGGGUGACCGGCCACAUUGGGACUGAGAUACGGCCCAGACGCCUACGGGAGGCAGCAGUGGGGAAUAUUGCACAAUAGGCGGAAGCCUGAUGCAGCAACGCCGCGUGCGGGAUGACGGCCUUCGGGUUGUAAACCGCUUUCGCCUGUGACGAAGCGUGAGUGACGGUAAUGGGUAAAGAAGCACCGGCUAACUACGUG
This 468-nucleotide ribosomal RNA is filed under the name uncultured bacterium. Its description in RNAcentral is "partial 16S ribosomal RNA". It matches the Rfam family "Bacterial small subunit ribosomal RNA", at positions 28 to 507 of the family's 1533-position model. The record is from RNAcentral.